UCCUCUCCCUCUUCCUCCUCCUCCUCCUUUCUUCCUCCUCUUUCUCCUGCUUCUCCUCCUUCCUUCCUCCUCUUCUUCCUCCUUCCUGCUUCCAGAGGAGAUGUUUAGGUGCAGUUAGCACUCAGUGCUGGUCCCUGCAUGAUGGACUGACCAAAGAACCACUGUGGCAAAGCAGAGGCCUGGACCAUCACUCUCACCACUGAGGCUUGGAUCUGCCUGGUUAAGGGUGAAUGUUUCCUCCCUUCCUCUGACAGGGAGAUCAACUUCCAUCAGAAUUUUGGACUCUUACAUUGUGUUUUUAUAUCAAGCAAAGUGCAAAAGGUUAUUUCUAGCAUUAAUCAUUGCAGCUAAUAAAGAUGGAACGCCCAGAGGUAGGCCUUGUACUAGGAAGCUUUUCUACAGUGCCUCAAUGAAGAUACUCAAUCGCACGUAACUCCUGUCCAAUCCACUAAUGGAGAAACAGCGUUAAUGAAGGAUUGCAUCAUCACCAAUGGGCCUGCUGAGUAGCUCCGCUCUGGUCGGCUGCUGCCAAAACGCAGUUCUCAUUUCCAACAAACAAAGUCUAUCUGAGAGACAGCACAGAGCCCUUUAGAACUGGGAAGUCCUGUGCAUAAUAAUGAAUCCCAGCUCUUCUUUUGCCAAAGAGCCUGGG
Long non-coding RNA from Mastomys coucha (southern multimammate mouse), 652 nucleotides. RefSeq lists it as uncharacterized. The transcript is spliced from 3 exons. The record is from RefSeq and is a predicted model, not a curated record. Lineage: Eukaryota; Metazoa; Chordata; Mammalia; Rodentia; Muridae.